RNAcentral lists this ribosomal RNA (468 nucleotides) under uncultured bacterium. RNAcentral's name for it is "partial 16S ribosomal RNA". It matches the Rfam family "Bacterial small subunit ribosomal RNA", at positions 28 to 507 of the family's 1533-position model. The record is from RNAcentral.
GAUGAACGCUGGCGGCGUGCCUAAUACAUGCAAGUCGAACGGAAUUACGAGGCUUUUUUCUUGUGCAAGUGUGGCGAACGGGUGUGAAACACAUGCGUAAUCCCUUCCUCAGUGGGGGAUAACUUCAGGAAACUGGGUAUAAUACCGGAUAGAAGCUCCUGCGCCUUAUUGGGGGUUGGAAAGUUUCGGCGGUUCGGGAUGGACUCGGUGCUUAUAAGCUGGUUGGGGGGGUAGGGGCCUACCAAGCCUUGGACGGGAAGGCGUCCUGAGAGGGGGACCGGCGACAGUGCGACAGAGAUACGGGACAGAGUAGUAAGGGAGGCAGCAGUGGGGAAUAUUCCCCGAUGCGGGGAAGCCUGAUGCAGGAACGCCGCGUGCGGGGUGAUGGACUGCGGGUUGUCAACAGCUUUCGCCUGUGCCGAAACGAGAGUGACGGUACUGGAUAAAGAAGCACCGGCUAACUACGUG